This is a non-coding RNA of Danio rerio (zebrafish), 450 nucleotides long. NCBI's taxonomy places the organism in Eukaryota, Metazoa, Chordata, Actinopteri, Cypriniformes, Danionidae. The record is from RefSeq and is a predicted model, not a curated record.
GAAAGUCCUAUACAGGGUUGCAGUUCUUAUGAGUAUACCCUAGAUGGCGCACCUCUCUAAUUUGACCGACAUUCACUACUUUCGCUUUCAAGAGCAAGCACAUGGCAAAAAUCACUUGUGAGGCACGGUGAGAAGGCAAACAUCUAUCCUGUGUGCGUUCAUGCCAAGAAAACCACACACACACACACACACACACGUACUCACUCAUUAAAGCUAUUUUUGGAUGAAACUCUCCGAGCCCUUUACUCUCUUACCGGAGUCUCCAGUUUUCAAGGACUAUCAGAACAUUCCAGAGGUUCCACCUCAACAACAACGUUGUGCAGACAUCGCUCCAACGUAAAUGUGUUUGUUGGGAGUACACCUUGUAUUUACAUUUGAGUGAAAUGUUUGCAUAUAUUGUAACAAAUGCGGGAAAAUAAUGUGCAUAAAACUUGUUCCUAUUAAACUUCC